RNAcentral lists this non-coding RNA (30 nucleotides) under Mus musculus (house mouse). Lineage: Eukaryota; Metazoa; Chordata; Mammalia; Rodentia; Muridae. The record is from RNAcentral.
UUCAAGUUCAAAGUGUCUGAAUGUCAGAGG